CAGUUUUCUUCCAAGGGAUAGUUAGAAAUAAAUUUGACGAAAAAGCAGUUCCAGGAGAGUAUGGCAACAGACUGGAGUGCACGCCCAAUCUUGAUUUGCUUAUGGGUGCAGGGUCAGUGAGAACAGGAGCAGUGUGAUUCGAUUUAAGGUCCAUUUGAUCCAGACUUCUAAAGCAAUUUAAGGUAGACGAAUGAGGUAAAAGUUUACAGCAGACAAUCCUUUUGAAUGAGAAGCACUAAUAUCGUAUAUAUCUUCACCCAACCCUUUUAUCAAUGAAAAACCACCUCUUCAAAGUGUUCUUAUCACUGCUAGUUGGCAAGCAGUCCAUCA
Molecule: long non-coding RNA, 330 nt
Filed under: Manihot esculenta (cassava)
Lineage: Eukaryota; Viridiplantae; Streptophyta; Magnoliopsida; Malpighiales; Euphorbiaceae
Description: long non-coding RNA (MESC_LNC008281)
Source: RNAcentral